UGCCAGGCAUGGUUUUCCUCAUUAAAACUACCCUGUCAUUAGAUUGAAACUGGAAACUACAGCAAGGUCAGAAUCACUAUAAAGAUCAGCUGUACUUAUAAUGUCAUUUCUGAAUCCCACUGCUAUGAUUUAGGAUACAGGUCCCAAGGGCUUAAAGAUGGUUUGAGAAGAGAGAAGAUAAUUAAUGAAUCUUUCCCACCAGCCUGUAUGACCUGGAGCUGCAGCUCACCUUCCUGUGUGCAUCCCACAGAACAGCAAGGUCAUUAUCAAGAGUGUUCAGGGAACAGCCUGUGAUCCCAGGACUCACAAGGCUGAGGCUAAGUCUGUAAGCUUAAGGCCAGUCUGGCUACAUAACAAGUUAAAGGUCAACUUGGGCUUCCUAAGAGCAGUCUGUCUCAAAAAAACCAACCACAACAUAAAAAAAUAAAUAUCCAUGAGGGA
Mastomys coucha (southern multimammate mouse) is the source of this 441-nucleotide long non-coding RNA. RefSeq lists it as uncharacterized. The record is from RefSeq and is a predicted model, not a curated record. Lineage: Eukaryota; Metazoa; Chordata; Mammalia; Rodentia; Muridae. The transcript is spliced from 2 exons.